Molecule: ribosomal RNA, 510 nt
Filed under: uncultured bacterium
Lineage: Bacteria
Description: partial 16S ribosomal RNA
Rfam family: Bacterial small subunit ribosomal RNA
Source: RNAcentral
GACGAACGCUGGCGGCGUGCUUAACACAUGCAAGUCGAACGAAGAGCGAUGGAAGCUUGCUUCUCUCAAUCUUAGUGGCGAACGGGUGAGUAACGCGUAAUCAACCUGCCCUUCAGAGGGGGACAACAGUUGGAAACGACUGCUAAUACCGCAUACGAUCUAAUCUCGGCAUCGAGGAUAGAUGAAAGGUGGCCUCUACAUGUAAGCUAUCACUGAAGGAGGGGAUUGCGUCUGAUUAGCUAGUUGGAGGGGUAACGGCCCACCAAGGCGAUGAUCAGUAGCCGGUCUGAGAGGAUGGACGGCCACAUUGGGACUGAGACACGGCCCAGACUCCUACGGGAGGCAGCAGUGGGGAAUCUUCCGCAAUGGACGAAAGUCUGACGGAGCAACGCCGCGUGAGCGAUGACGGCCUUCGGGUUGUAAAGCUCUGUUAAUCGGGACGAAAGGCCUUCUUGCGAAUAGUGAGAAGGAUUGACGGUACCGGAAUAGAAAGCCACGGCUAACUACGUG